AGUGAACGUUGGCGGCGUGGAUUAGGCAUGCAAGUCGAGCGAUCGUAGCAAUACGGGAGCGGCAAACGGGGUAGGAAUACAUCGGAACGUACCUUUUGGUUGAGAAUAGCGUUGGGAAACUGACGGUAAUACUCAAUAAAGUCGAGAGACCAAAGGUUUACUGCCGGAAGAGCGGCCGAUGCGAUAUUAGGUAGUUGGUGGGGUAAUGGCCUACCAAGCCUGAGAUGUCUAGGGGUGUGAGAGCAUGGCCCCCACCACUGGGACUGAGAUACUGCCCAGACACCUACGGGUGGCUGCAGUCGAGGAUCUUCGUCAAUGGGCGAAAGCCUGAACGAGCGACGCCGCGUGCGGGAUGAAGGCCCUUGGGUUGUAAAACCGCUGUCAGGGGGGAUGAAACCGUAAGGUUGACAGAGCCCCAGAGGAAGCACGGGCUAAGUUCGUGCCAGCAGCCGCGGUAAU
This 459-nucleotide ribosomal RNA is filed under the name uncultured bacterium. RNAcentral's name for it is "bacterial SSU rRNA". It matches the Rfam family "Bacterial small subunit ribosomal RNA", at positions 29 to 524 of the family's 1533-position model. The record is from RNAcentral.